UACGGAGGGUGCAAGCAUUGAUCGGAAUUACUGGGCGUAAAGGGCGCGUAGGCGGUUAUGAAAGUCAGACGUGAAAUUCCGGGGCUCAACCCCGGAGCUGCAUUUGAAACUUCAUGACUAGAGUUCAGUUAGGGUAAACGGAAUUCCACGUGUAGCGGUGAAAUGCGUAGAUAUGUGGAAGAACACCGGUGGUGAAGACGGUUUACUGGGCUGAGACUGACGCUGAGGCGCGAAAGCAUGGGGAGCAAACAGG
This 253-nucleotide ribosomal RNA is filed under the name uncultured bacterium. RNAcentral describes it as "partial 16S ribosomal RNA". It matches the Rfam family "Bacterial small subunit ribosomal RNA", at positions 524 to 776 of the family's 1533-position model. The record is from RNAcentral.